GGGCGCAAGCCUGAUCCAGCCAUACCGCGUGUGUGAAGAAGGCCCUAGGGUUGUAAAGCACUUUAAGCAGGGAGAAAAAGUUAUAAGUUAAUACCUUAUGACCUUGAUGUUACCUGCAGAAUAAGCACCGGCUAAUUCCGUGCCAGCAGCCGCGGUAAUACGGAAGGUGCAAGCGUUAAUCGGAAUUACUGGGCGUAAAGCGCGCGUAGGUGGUUUGUUAAGUUGGAUGUGAAAGCCCUGGGCUCAACCUAGGAACUGCAUCCAAAACUAACUCACUAGAGUACGAUAGAGGGAGGUAGAAUUCAUAGUGUAGCGGUGGAAUGCGUAGAUAUUAUGAAGAAUACCAGUGGCGAAGGCGGCCUCCUGGAUCUGUACUGACACUAAGGUGCGAAAGCGUGGGUAGCGAACAGGAUUAGAUACCCUGGUAGUCCACGCCGUAAACGAUGACAACUAGCUGUUGGAAGACAACGUCUUUCAGUGGCGCAGCUAACGUUUUAAGUUGUCCGCCUGGGGAGUACGGCCGCAAGGCUAAAACUCAAAUGAAUUGACGGGGACCCGCACAAGCGGUGGAGCAUGUGGUUUAAUUCGAUGCAACGCGAAAAACCUUACCUACUCUUGACAUACUUGGAAACUCUUGUAAUGAGAGUGUGCCUUUUGGAACCAAGAUACAGGUGCUGCAUGGCUGUCGUCAGCUCGUGUCGUGAGAUGUUCCGUUAAGUCGGAUAACGAGCGCAACCCUUACCCUUAUUUGCCAGCGAUUCGGUCGGGAACUAUAAGGGGACUGCCGGUGAUAAACCGGAGGAAGGUGAGGACGACGUCAAGUCAUCAUGGCC
RNAcentral lists this ribosomal RNA (833 nucleotides) under uncultured Gammaproteobacteria bacterium. RNAcentral's name for it is "bacterial SSU rRNA". It matches the Rfam family "Bacterial small subunit ribosomal RNA", at positions 373 to 1200 of the family's 1533-position model. The record is from RNAcentral. Lineage: Bacteria; Pseudomonadati; Pseudomonadota; Gammaproteobacteria.